AAGAGAACACCAAACCCCAAUGAGGAGGAUUAGAGAAGAGAUUUUUGCUAUUCGAUAGACGCAAAUAUUUAAGGCCAACCAGAUGUCCAAUUGAUGAAGGUAUUUCCUCGAUCGCACUACCACUUAAGGCAAUCGACUCCAAAUUCUUCUUCUGCUCCCCAAAUUCUAGAAUCUUUUUCAGAUUUUUGCAAUUAUCUAGAUGCAACUUCUGAAGGCCAACCAGAUGUCCAAAGGAUAAAGGUACUUCCUCGAUCGCACUACCAAUUAAGUCAAUGAACGCCAAAUUCUUCAUCUGCUCCCCAAAUUCUGGAAUCUUUUUCAGAUUUUUGCAAUUAUUUAGAUACAACUCCUUAAGGCCAACCAGAUGUCCAAUUGAUGAAGGUAUUUCCUCGAUCGCACUACCACUUAAGACAAUCGACUCCAAAUUCUUCAUCUGCUCCCCAAAUUCUGGAAUCUUUUCCAGAUUUUUGCAAUUAUCUAGAUGCAACUCAUAAAGGCUAACCAGAUGUCCAAUUGAUGAAGGUAUUUCCUCAAUCGCACUACCACUUAAGGCAAUCAACUCCAAAUUCUUCAUCUGCUCCCCAAAUUCUGGAAUCUUUUUCAGAUUUUUGCAAUUAUCUAGAUGCAACACCUUAAGGCCAACCAGAUGUCCAAUUGAUGAAGGUAUUUCCUCGAUCGCACUACCACUUAAGACAAUCAACUCCAAAUUCUUCAUCUGCUCCCCAAAUUCUGGAAUCUUUUUCAGAUUUUUGCAGUUAUCUAGAUGCAACACCUUAAGGCCAACCAGAUGUCCAAUUGAUUAAGGUAUUUCCUCGAUCGCACUACCAUUGAAGCUAAUCGACUCCAAAUUCUUCAUCUGCUCCCCAAAUUUUGGAAUCUUUUUCAGAUUUUUGCAAUUACGUAGAUGCAACACCUUAAGGCCAACCAGAUGUCCAAUUGAUGAAGGUAUUUCCUCGAUCGCACUACCACUGAAGCU
RNAcentral lists this long non-coding RNA (976 nucleotides) under Malus domestica (apple). Its description in RNAcentral is "long non-coding RNA (MDOM_LNC009581)". The record is from RNAcentral. Lineage: Eukaryota; Viridiplantae; Streptophyta; Magnoliopsida; Rosales; Rosaceae.